GGUCAAAAUCAAAAGUAGCCAUCAGUGACUGGAGUGGCCACCAGCUGCAUUAAGUACUGCAGUGCAUCUCCUCCUCAUGUACUGCACCAGACUAGCCAGUUCUUGCAGUUUGUGAAUGUUACCCCACUCUUCU
Etheostoma spectabile (orangethroat darter) is the source of this 133-nucleotide long non-coding RNA. RefSeq lists it as uncharacterized. The record is from RefSeq and is a predicted model, not a curated record. The transcript has 3 exons. NCBI's taxonomy places the organism in Eukaryota, Metazoa, Chordata, Actinopteri, Perciformes, Percidae.